This 82-nucleotide ribosomal RNA is filed under the name Olea europaea subsp. europaea. RNAcentral's name for it is "LSU_rRNA_bacteria". It matches the Rfam family "Eukaryotic large subunit ribosomal RNA", at positions 835 to 916 of the family's 3401-position model. The record is from RNAcentral. Lineage: Eukaryota; Viridiplantae; Streptophyta; Magnoliopsida; Lamiales; Oleaceae.
ACCUGAGCAGGGCGAAGCCAGAGAAAACUCUGGUGGAGGCCUACAGUGAUACUGACGUGCAAAUCGUUCAUCUGACUUGAGU